UACGUAGGGUGCAAGCGUGUCCGGAAUUAUUGGGCGUAAAGAGCUCGUAGGCGGUUUGUUGCGUCGGCUGUGAAAUCCCGAGGCUCAACCUCGGGUCUGCAGUCGAUACGAGCAAACUAGAGUGUUGCAGGGGAGACUGGAAUUCCUGGUGUAGCGGUGAAAUGCGCAGAUAUCAGGAGGAACACCGGUGGCGAAGGCGGGUCUCUGGGCAUUAACUGACGCUGAGGAGCGAAAGCAUGGGGAGCGAACAGG
Molecule: ribosomal RNA, 252 nt
Filed under: uncultured bacterium
Lineage: Bacteria
Description: partial 16S ribosomal RNA
Rfam family: Bacterial small subunit ribosomal RNA
Source: RNAcentral